RNAcentral lists this ribosomal RNA (637 nucleotides) under uncultured bacterium. Its description in RNAcentral is "bacterial SSU rRNA". It matches the Rfam family "Bacterial small subunit ribosomal RNA", at positions 607 to 1244 of the family's 1533-position model. The record is from RNAcentral.
GCUUAACCGGAGAAGUGCAUCGGAAACUGGAUAACUUGAGUGCAGAAGAGGGUAGUGGAACUCCAUGUGUAGCGGUGGAAUGCGUAGAUAUAUGGAAGAACACCAGUGGCGAAGGCGGCUACCUGGUCUGCAACUGACGCUGAGACUCGAAAGCAUGGGUAGCGAACAGGAUUAGAUACCCUGGUAGUCCAUGCAGUAAACGAUGAGUGCUAGGUGUUGGAGGGUUUCCGCCCUUCAGUGCCGGAGCUAACGCAUUAAGCACUCCGCCUGGGGAGUACGACCGCAAGGUUGAAACUCAAAGGAAUUGACGGGGGCCCGCACAAGCGGUGGAGCAUGUGGUUUAAUUCGAAGCUACGCGAAGAACCUUACCAGGUCUUGACAUCUUGCGCCAACCCUAGAGAUAGGGCGUUUCCUUCGGGAACGCAAUGACAGGUGGUGCAUGGUCGUCGUCAGCUCGUGUCGUGAGAUGUUGGGUUAAGUCCCGCAACGAGCGCAACCCUUGUUACUAGUUGCCAGCAUUAAGUUGGGCACUCUAGUGAGACUGCCGGUGACAAACCGGAGGAAGGUGGGGACGACGUCAGAUCAUCAUGCCCCUUAUGACCUGGGCUACACACGUGCUACAAUGGACGGUACAACG